UGUAAACAUUGGUAUCACACUUCCUAACACUCUUACUGAAAAAUUCAGAUCAGAACAAGAUCUAACCAAAACAAAACAGUCUCCUCAAGUAUAAUCCACAGUUGACUGACACCUGUGUUAGACCUUUCUCUUUGCUGGUCUUUGGAGGGAUCCAAGUGAAAUGCUUUGUAUUAGCUGGCAUGCUGCAGUUGUUAACAUCUAGAAUUUCUAAUUAGUAAUGUCCAAAUGAUAAGACUUCUGUAUGGGUUGCCAUGAACUGUUAUUGACUGCACUCAGUAUUUCUGAUAUGCUUAUCCUAAAACCACAAUUCGUUGUCAGCCUUACAGAGUGUUCCUUGACACUUUCAGAGCCUUUUAAGUACAUGAGAUGCCUCACCUCUUCUACUGCAUUUGUAUUAAUAUGUCUCUCCCUUCCUUUCUUCUGCACAGACAGAGGAAGAAUCAUCUUUGUAUUGUCACAAUGAAGAAGACUGAAGAAAACAGACCUGCAAAGGGCCCAGCUGCCAGGUACAUUCAGAGCAAGCAGAUGGGACCAGUCCUCACACAAAAAGCAGCAAGAAGUGAGACCUUCCACCCAGCUGGAAUAGUCCAGAGGCAGUGUGACUGAAGGGACGAACACAGCACUGACAUGGGAGCUCCUACAACCCAGGGAAAUCUCCAGCAGCACGUAAAUUCAGAAAGCUUAAAGGCUGGUCUAAACUUGAAAAAUCUUCGCAUACAUUAACUACGCUCAUUGAGAAAAGCCAUAUAAAUUGAUUCUCCUCAUAUGGAAGGAAAGAAGAUUGGAGCCCUUGGGUCCUGCACAAGGCAGUGCCCUUCCUGCUUCUCCUGGGGCUGCGGCCAGUUCAUUUAAGACCAUUCAAGUUCAGAAAGUGGCUCAUGGAAAAUACCAAUGUGCCACUUUUUACUAAACCUUGCAAAGACAAGUGAAGUGGCUCUGUGCUCACUUUUUCCUGCAACUAAAUUGCUACCAGCUUCAUAGACCUGAUAAGACCCUUUGGUGGAUCAGCCCCACAUCGUCACAGCUAUAGAGGGUCAUCAGCCUCAUUCGUCAUUUCAACAUAUCAUGCAGUCAUGUUCUGAUGGAAGGAGCACUUCUUGAGUUUUUUACUUUCCUCCAGCCAACUUACAAGUAGUACGAAGUGACUCAGGAGGGAGUUGUGUUUGUGUCUUCCCAGUGGGGAAUGAAUCAGAUCCGUGUGUGAGGGGAAGCAAGUGACCUGAGUGAGUAAAUUAAGGGCUUUUCAAAGCUUUGGUAGGGGUUUAAAGAGGAAAAGAAGUUGCAAAGACUGCUUUAAAUUAUGUUUCUUUCCAAGAAGCCAUGACACCUCUAUUAUCUGAGUAAAAGUAGGGUGUUUGCAAGUAGUACACAAUGAAACAGGUAAUUCCAUAGAAAAAUGAAAAAAG
RNAcentral lists this long non-coding RNA (1406 nucleotides) under Anser brachyrhynchus (Pink-footed goose). Its description in RNAcentral is "lncRNA (ENSABRG00000020982.1)". The record is from RNAcentral. Lineage: Eukaryota; Metazoa; Chordata; Aves; Anseriformes; Anatidae.